This 429-nucleotide ribosomal RNA is filed under the name Acidobacteriota bacterium. RNAcentral's name for it is "Acidobacteria bacterium partial 16S ribosomal RNA". It matches the Rfam family "Bacterial small subunit ribosomal RNA", at positions 355 to 776 of the family's 1533-position model. Lineage: Bacteria; Pseudomonadati; Acidobacteriota. The record is from RNAcentral.
UGGGGAAUUUUGGACAAUGGGGGAAACCCUGAUCCAGCCAUCCCGCGUGUGCGAUGAAGGCCUUCGGGUUGUAAAGCACUUUUGGUAGGAAAGAAACGUCAUGGGUUAAUACCCCGUGAAACUUACGGUACCUGCAGAAUAAGCACCGGCUAACUACGUUCCAGCAGCCGCGGUAAUACGUAGGGUGCAAGCGUUAAUCGGAAUUACUGGGCGUAAAGCGUGCGCAGGCGGUUCGGAAAGAAAGAUGUGAAAUCCCAGAGCUCAACGUUGGAACUGCAUUUUUAACUAUCGGGCUAGGGUGUGUCAGAGGGAGGUGGAAUUCCGGGUGUAGCAGUGAAAUGCGUAGAUAUGCGGAGAAACACCGAUGGCGAAGGCAGCCUCCUGGGAUAACACUGACGCUCUUGCACGAAAGCGUGGGGAGCAAACAGG